This 383-nucleotide ribosomal RNA is filed under the name uncultured eukaryote. Its description in RNAcentral is "partial 18S ribosomal RNA". It matches the Rfam family "Eukaryotic small subunit ribosomal RNA", at positions 592 to 976 of the family's 1831-position model. The record is from RNAcentral.
CAAUAGCGUAUAUUAAAGUUGUUGCAGUUAAAAAGCUCGUAGUUGGAUUUCUGGUAGGAGCGACCGUGCCGAACUUGAUUGUUCGAGUAUUGUGUUGUCUUCAGCCAUCCUCGUGGAGAACUUUUCUAACAUUAACUUGUUGGGAUUGGGACCCGCGUCGUUUACUGUGAAAAAAUUAGAGUGUUUAAGGCAGGCAUUAGCUUGAAUACAUUAGCAUGGAAUAAUAAGAUAGGACUUUGGUACUAUUUUGUUGGUUUGCAUACCAAAUUAAUGAUCAACAGGAACAGUUUGAGGAUAUUCGUAUGAACAUGUCAGAGGUGAAAUUCUUGGAUUUUGAUCAGACGAACUACUGCGAAAGCAUUUAUCAAGGAUGUUUUCAUUAA